GCCCAAGUGGCGGAAUGGCAGACGCGCUACGUUCAGAGCGUAGUGCCCGUAUGGGCGUGGGAGUUCAAAUCUCCCCUUGGGCACCA
This 86-nucleotide transfer RNA is filed under the name SAR202 cluster bacterium. RNAcentral's name for it is "tRNA-Leu". It matches the Rfam family "tRNA". From Rfam's summary of the family: Transfer RNA (tRNA) molecules are approximately 80 nucleotides in length. Their secondary structure includes four short double-helical elements and three loops (D, anti-codon, and T loops). The record is from RNAcentral. Lineage: Bacteria; Bacillati; Chloroflexota; Dehalococcoidia.